UGGGGAAUAUUGCACAAUGGGCGGAAGCCUGAUGCAGCAACGCCGCGUGAGGGAUGACGGCCUUCGGGUUGUAAACCUCUUUUAGCAGGGAAGAAGCGUGAGUGACGGUACCUGCAGAAAAAGCGCCGGCUAACUACGUGCCAGCAGCCGCGGUAAUACGUAGGGCGCAAGCGUUAUCCGGAAUUAUUGGGCGUAAAGAGCUCGUAGGCGGUUUGUCGCGUCUGCUGUGAAAUCCCGAGGCUCAACUUCGGGUCUGCAGUGGGUACGGGCAGACUAGAGUGCGGUAGGGGAGAUUGGAAUUCCUGGUGUAGCGGUGGAAUGCGCAGAUAUCAGGAGGAACACCGAUGGCGAAGGCAGAUCUCUGGGCCGUAACUGACGCUGAGGAGCGAAAGGGUGGGGAGCAAACA
RNAcentral lists this ribosomal RNA (407 nucleotides) under uncultured Microbacterium sp. RNAcentral describes it as "bacterial SSU rRNA". It matches the Rfam family "Bacterial small subunit ribosomal RNA", at positions 355 to 774 of the family's 1533-position model. The record is from RNAcentral. Lineage: Bacteria; Bacillati; Actinomycetota; Actinomycetes; Micrococcales; Microbacteriaceae.